RNAcentral lists this long non-coding RNA (279 nucleotides) under Lathyrus oleraceus (garden pea). RNAcentral's name for it is "Pisum sativum (pea) long non-coding RNA (PSAT_LNC007808)". The record is from RNAcentral. Lineage: Eukaryota; Viridiplantae; Streptophyta; Magnoliopsida; Fabales; Fabaceae.
GAAAAGAUACACGAUUGUGUUUUGCCAACUGACAAACAUCACACUUAAAAGACUCAACAGAAUGGUGUAAGAACAACGACGGAAACAUAGACUUAAUUAUAUAAAAUGGAGGAUGACCGAGACGCUUGUGCUGAAGCCAAAUUUGUGAGGCUGAAGAGGAAGACUGAGACUGGAAACAGGAGGACAAUACCUUUGGAUGGUCAUCAGAGAAGUAGUAUAACCCUUCCUUUUCCUUAGCAAUUCCAAUCGUCUGCCCCGUGGUAAGGUCCUGAAAAACAC